This 490-nucleotide ribosomal RNA is filed under the name uncultured bacterium. Its description in RNAcentral is "bacterial SSU rRNA". It matches the Rfam family "Bacterial small subunit ribosomal RNA", at positions 28 to 507 of the family's 1533-position model. The record is from RNAcentral.
GUUGAACGCGUGGCGGAAUCGCUUUACACAUGCAAGUCGAACGGCAGCACGGACUUCGGUCUGGGUGGCGAGUGGACGAACGGGUGAAGUAACAUUAUCGGAACGUAUCCAAUAAUGGGGGAUAACUAAUCGAAAGGUUGGCUAAUACCGCAUACGCCCUGAGGGGGAAAGCUAGGGAUCUUCGGACCUGGCGUUAAUGGAGCGGCCGAUAUCUGAUUAGCUAGUUGGUGGGGUAAAGGCCCACCAAGGCGACGAUCAGUAGCUGGUCUGAGAGGACGACCAGCCACACUGGAACUGAGACACGGUCCAGACUCCUACGGGAGGCAGCAGUGGGGAAUUUUGGACAAUGGGCGCAAGCCUGAUCCAGCAAUGCCGCGUGCAGGAUGAAGGCCUUCGGGUUGUAAACUGCUUUUGUACGGAACGAAAAGGCUCUGGUUAAUACCUGGGGCUCAUGACGGUACCGUAAGAAUAAGCACCGGCUAACUACGUG